Molecule: long non-coding RNA, 519 nt
Organism: Acromyrmex echinatior (Panamanian leafcutter ant)
Lineage: Eukaryota; Metazoa; Arthropoda; Insecta; Hymenoptera; Formicidae
Source: RefSeq, a predicted model, not a curated record
AUCGGUCAGAAUCAAACAACAUAUUUGUUAUAAUACAUAAUGUGAAUAAUAAAUUAUUUAAGUGACGUAAAUGUUAUCUAACUCCGCGUAAUAAAAACUUACGUGAUUAUGCACGCAGAAUGUACUUGACAUUUAAUUGCUCCAUUGUCAUUUCCUACUACAAGAAAAUACGAGCAAAAAGUGUGUGAAAAAUCGAGUAAAAAAGUACAAGCUGAAGGUGCUACAUCAAACGAGUGCGGAUGGUAUAUAGAGAUGUUUGCAAUUAAUUUUUGUUAACAAUAUUUCCUAUACAUAUAGAGUAAAAGCACUAAAUGCGGAUCUAAGGAAGGCACUAGUUCCGGAUAAUAUAUUAUAUUUAAAUAAUCAACAGUGCUGCUGCAUUUUACUGAUGUCAUUAAUUAAUAAAACGUGACAGAAAAACUAAAGUUAUUUAAGUUUGGCCGCUAAUCAAACAUUCAUCACCAUUUCGUAAAAUGGUGCAACGAGAGGCAGUGGUCGUAAGGAACGCCGUAAAGCGUU